This 120-nucleotide ribosomal RNA is filed under the name Petromyzon marinus (sea lamprey). Lineage: Eukaryota; Metazoa; Chordata; Hyperoartia; Petromyzontiformes; Petromyzontidae. The record is from RNAcentral.
ACCCGUGACCAAAUGCCCUGCAAUGUGCUCGGGUCAUGUCAAAUCUCAGAAGCUAAGCAGAUUUGAGCCUGAAUGGUGCUUGUAUGGGUGACCACCAUGCAUACCAGGUUGCUAUAGGCU